This 253-nucleotide ribosomal RNA is filed under the name uncultured bacterium. RNAcentral describes it as "partial 16S ribosomal RNA". It matches the Rfam family "Bacterial small subunit ribosomal RNA", at positions 524 to 776 of the family's 1533-position model. The record is from RNAcentral.
GACGUAGGGUGCAAGCGUUGUCCGGAUUUAUUGGGCGUAAAGAGCGUGUAGGCGGCCAGGUAGGUCUGCUGUGAAAACUCGAGGCUCAACCUCGAGACGUCGGCGGAAACCAUCUGGCUAGAGUCCGGAAGAGGAGAGUGGAAUUGCUGGUGUAGCGGUGAAAUGCGCAGAUAUCAGGAAGAACACCGGUGGCGAAGGCGGCUUUCUGGACGGUUACUGACGCUGAGACGCGAAAGCGUGGGGAGCAAACAGG